Molecule: long non-coding RNA, 1994 nt
Organism: Phyllopteryx taeniolatus (common seadragon)
Lineage: Eukaryota; Metazoa; Chordata; Actinopteri; Syngnathiformes; Syngnathidae
Exons: 4
Source: RefSeq, a predicted model, not a curated record
AACGGAAGCAGCUAAUGACGUUGCUAGUGGAAUGCUAAUAAACGGUGUUUAGAAAACCGUCUCUUGAAAAUGUAGACGCUUCUUUAAAACUCUUUUAAAUAACUAAUUUUAGACCACUAAAGUGGGGCCAGGUGAUCCCACCCCGCUAACAAUGACGAGCGGCGGUACACGCCACAAAACAAGCAGCGACAAGUAGCGUGGCUUCGAUCGCUCUUGUCCCCACAAACAAUGCCGGACGGACAAGAGCAAGAAAAGAAUUCUCGCCCCGGGAGAGGAAAAAUCUGUCAUUGGAAGUUUGAAAGAAAAGCAAACCCUGACUCGACCGACAGCUUUGAUGUCACCGGGUCAAUUGAAGCGACUCAACGGGCGGCAGACAGAGGAUGAAAAAAAAGAUGACAAAGAGCUUUGAGCGGAUGAUGCAGGGGGGUGCUGUUAUGUAACGCCUCUUUCUUCUUCCUCCACCUGGAUCUUUGCUUCAUGCACAAUACCGGAUGGCAAAAUUAACACAUUUCCCCCCCUAAGAAAAGUAACAAUCCUAAUUGUUUCACCUUAAAAUAUUAACCUAAUUUUUUUUCCGCAUAAUUAACACUAUCAUUUUUUUCCCCCGAAGAAAAUUAACACUAAGUGUUUUACCUCAUAAUAUUAACAACGUAAAUUUUAUCCCCUAAAAUAGAAUUUGAAAAAACUUUUUUGUUUUUUAAUAAAGUUUUGAGUUGAGUUUUAAUAUUUUUUUUCAUCCCCCAUUUUCUAAUAUGGAACUUCCUCUUAUCAUUGCAGCUCCCUUUCCCAUAAAUAUCUUCAAAUAUUGCUAUAUAGUGGAACCUCAAUUUAACGGACCCCGAUUUAAUGGACUUCAGAUUUAAUGGACAAAAAAUAGUGUCCAGUUGGAACUCAAAGUCACCCCUUUUAUGUACCGGUGACAUACGUUUGGAUAAACUUGCAAACUUUUGAAACACUUUAAAGCUUUUUAAAAUCUAUUUACAACAAUUUUGUACUGUAAUGGUGUUCUGAGGCCACAAAAAUGGGCUUCAAUUUAACUGCCAAUCUGAUUUUUAACGGAUGACCCUUCCUCCCUAUUAGUCCGUGAAAUCGAGGUUCUACUGUAUUUCCUCUAUCCCAAUAAAGAAAUACGAAGCGGUCUUUUAUUCUCCACAUUUGUUAAGUAAAAGUUCACUUGGUGAUGUCAUUCAAUUUCUAUACAGCAUAAAUGCAGCUUUAAUAUUCUAUCCCAUCAGCCCAGCAGGAAACACAAAGGAAGAUUUCAUUCGGGUGAGCGAUCCCUCGCCCCCCACGUCAUCCGCCCGACUCUUUUAUUUUACGAACAUGCUGACCUUUGAACCCUCUAACCUGCUCCUCCCCGGGCCCGCUGGCAGACCGAUAAAAGGACCUGAAAAAAAAACCAAACACACACACAAAAAAAAAAGGAAUUUAAGGAAGGCCUACAAGUGUUCGAGCGGCGGGGGCGGACCAUGUUGCCAUACGUUGGUGUCGGCCUCUCUUAGCGUCGGCGUCACUGAACACACGCACACACACACUGGAAGUGGUCAUUAGUAGUCGUAUAAUUGGAACAAUAAAAGGAUCUUCAGGGGUCGCUGAGUGAGUGGCCUUUCACUCGUCAUCUGUUUGAACGAGUGAGAAUGGGUACGCUUAAUGAGCUAAUUAUGUCCUCAUAAGUGUAGAUUUGGUUUGCUAUUGUUUGAGCUUGAACCCGUCAUUUGGCAAAUAUUGAUAUAUGUACAAAAGGAAGCUGGUCGACCUCCAUUUUGCUUUUAAACUCCUUUUCCUCAUAGGAAAUAGUGGAAAUAAUCGUUCAAACUUUAUUAACUAAAGAGGCAUUGUUUUAAGUUACAGUUUAACACGAUUAACAAUCAUGGAAGGGUUACAAAAGAGCUAAAAAAGUGUGGGACGAUUUUAGAUGUUUGUAUUAUCAUUUAGAAAAAGUUUAAAAAGUUAGUCUUUUGGUGUGUCAGUUGUAGAUGUUUUAUCCUUAACAA